GCUGGGUAUGGUGGCACACACCUGUAAUCCUAGCUACUCAGGAGGCUGAGGCAAGAGGAUUUCAAAUUUGAGGACAGCCUCAGCAAUUUAGUAAGAACUUGCCUCAA
RNAcentral lists this small RNA (107 nucleotides) under Marmota monax (woodchuck). The record is from RNAcentral. Lineage: Eukaryota; Metazoa; Chordata; Mammalia; Rodentia; Sciuridae.